RNAcentral lists this ribosomal RNA (474 nucleotides) under uncultured organism. RNAcentral describes it as "partial 16S ribosomal RNA". It matches the Rfam family "Bacterial small subunit ribosomal RNA", at positions 334 to 799 of the family's 1533-position model. The record is from RNAcentral.
CACUCCUACGGGAGGCAGCAGUGGGGAAUUUUGGACAAUGGGCGAAAGCCUGAUCCAGCAAUGCCGCGUGUGUGAAGAAGGCCUUCGGGUUGUAAAGCACUUUUGUCCGGAAAGAAAUCCUUGGCUCUAAUACAGUCGGGGGAUGACGGUACCGGAAGAAUAAGCACCGGCUAACUACGUGCCAGCAGCCGCGGUAAUACGUAGGGUGCGAGCGUUAAUCGGAAUUACUGGGCGUAAAGCGUGCGCAGGCGGUUUGCUAAGACCGAUGUGAAAUCCCCGGGCUCAACCUGGGAACUGCAUUGGUGACUGGCAGGCUAGAGUAUGGCAGAGGGGGGUAGAAUUCCACGUGUAGCAGUGAAAUGCGUAGAGAUGUGGAGGAAUACCGAUGGCGAAGGCAGCCCCCUGGGCCAAUACUGACGCUCAUGCACGAAAGCGUGGGGAGCAAACAGGAUUAGAUACCCUUGUAGUCCCAUG